Non-coding RNA from Gymnopilus junonius, 91 nucleotides. Lineage: Eukaryota; Fungi; Basidiomycota; Agaricomycetes; Agaricales; Galerinaceae. The record is from the annotation of a GenBank genome assembly.
GCCCGCCUAGCUCAAUCGGAUAGAGCGUCAGACUCUUAAAGCUAUGGCAUUGGCCAUCUGAAGGCUGCGAGUUCGACCCUCGCGGUGGGCU